Long non-coding RNA from Lathyrus oleraceus (garden pea), 460 nucleotides. RefSeq lists it as uncharacterized. NCBI's taxonomy places the organism in Eukaryota, Viridiplantae, Streptophyta, Magnoliopsida, Fabales, Fabaceae. The transcript is spliced from 3 exons. The record is from RefSeq and is a predicted model, not a curated record.
UCUUGUGUUUCUCUUUCCCCUCCUUUGGUGACUUCAUCUAUCUCACUUUAAUUUUUUUCUCAAUUUCGAAUUUCAAACCCUAAUUUUAUCUCCACCCCACACCAAAUAACUUAAAUUUGUUGGAAUUUGUUGCUCCUUCAAGAUGACGACAAUUCGUAGGUUUUGCUGCAACGACCUUCUUCGUUUUACCAAUGUCAAUCUAGAUCAUCUCACUGAAACUUUUAACAUGUCAUUCUACAUGACGUAUUUAGCGCGAUGGCCCGACUAUUUCCAUGUCGCCGAAGGCCCUGGGAACCGAAUUAUGGGUUACAGUUGAGGAAUCUAGAUUUGUGUUUGAAGCUAAGACUAUACAGAGAAUGGAGCUUUUGGUGUUGUCUACUUUGAAAUGGAGGAUGCAUCCGGUGACUCCAAUUUCCUUCUUUGAACACAUUGUUAGAAGGCUUGGUUUGAAGAGUCGUUU